AAAUCGGCCCUUUUCAGGGCCACCAAAAACAAAGAAAAAGUUAACCU
Daphnia pulex (common water flea) is the source of this 47-nucleotide non-coding RNA. Lineage: Eukaryota; Metazoa; Arthropoda; Branchiopoda; Diplostraca; Daphniidae. The record is from Rfam.